This 885-nucleotide ribosomal RNA is filed under the name Amanita flavipes. RNAcentral's name for it is "eukaryotic LSU rRNA". It matches the Rfam family "Eukaryotic large subunit ribosomal RNA", at positions 65 to 937 of the family's 3401-position model. The record is from RNAcentral. Lineage: Eukaryota; Fungi; Basidiomycota; Agaricomycetes; Agaricales; Amanitaceae.
CUAACAAGGAUUCCCUUAGUAACUGCGAGUGAAGAGGGAAAAGCUCAAAUUUAAAAUCUGGCAGUGUUUCACUGUCCGAGUUGUAACCUAGAGAAGUGUAACCUGUGCUGGACCGUGUAUAAGUCUCCUGGAAUGGAGCAUCAUAGAGGGUGAGAAUCCCGUCUUUGACAUGGACUACCAGUGCAUUGUGGUUGCGCUCUCAACGAGUCGAGUUGUUUGGGAAUGCAGCUCUAAAUGGGUGGUAAAUUCCAUCUAAAGCUAAAUAUUGGCGAGAGACCGAUAGCGAACAAGUACCGUGAGGGAAAGAUGAAAAGAACUUUGGAAAGAGAGUUAAACAGUAUGUGAAAUUGUUGAAAGGGAAACGUUUGAAGUCAGUCGCGUUGGUUGGGGAUCAGCCUGACAUUGUUGGGUGUACUUCCUGGUUGACGGGCCAACAUCAGUUUUGACUGCCAGAAAAAGGCCAAAGGAAUGUGGCACCUUUGGGUGUGUUAUAGCCCUUGGUCGUAUAUGGUGGUUGGGACUGAGGAAAGCAGCGUGCCGAAAGGCCGGGUUUCGACCACGUUCACGCUGAGGAUGUUGGCAUAAUGGCUUUAAGCGACCCGUCUUGAAACACGGACCAAGGAGUCUAACAUGCGUGCGAGUGUUUGGGUGGAAAACCCUUACGCGUAAUGAAAGUGAAAGUUGAGAUCCCUGUCGCGGGGAGCAUCGACGCCCGGACCAGAACUUUUGGGACGGAUCUGCGGUAGAGCAUGUAUGUUGGGACCCGAAAGAUGGUGAACUAUGCCUGAAUAGGGUGAAGCCAGAGGAAACUCUGGUGGAGGCUCGUAGCGAUUCUGACGUGCAAAUCGAUCGUCAAAUUUGGGUAUAGGGGCGAAAGACUAAUCG